RNAcentral lists this long non-coding RNA (361 nucleotides) under Homo sapiens (human). RNAcentral's name for it is "HSALNT0321254". The record is from RNAcentral. Lineage: Eukaryota; Metazoa; Chordata; Mammalia; Primates; Hominidae.
GAAACCACCUCCAUGAUCCAAUCACCACCCACCAGGCUCCACCUCCAACACUGGGGUUUACAAUUCAACAUGAGAUUUGGAUAGGGACACAGAUCCAAACAAUAUCAGGUACAAUGCUUCUUUUGUUUUAUAGAUGGGGAUGACUAAGUCAGGGAGUUUGAAUAAUUUGUCCAACAUCAUAAAUACUAGGUGAUGAUGUCACAAUUAGUACACAGGUAUAAAAGUUCCUAAUUAUUAUGCCACAUAUAUCAUUGAUAAAACACUUACCUUUUUAAAGAAACUACUUUCUAAUUGUUUUGGACUAAUUAUGUUUUCAUUAUUAGGACACCUCUCUCAGGACCAGUGUGAGACUGACACAUAG